Molecule: non-coding RNA, 90 nt
Organism: Mycena leptocephala
Lineage: Eukaryota; Fungi; Basidiomycota; Agaricomycetes; Agaricales; Mycenaceae
Source: the annotation of a GenBank genome assembly
GCCCCCGUAGAUCAGCGGUAGAUCUUCAUCUCGUAGGCCAUGGUCAGACGUGUUAUGAAGACGUUGUAGGUUCGAAUCCUACCGAGGGCA